Molecule: ribosomal RNA, 252 nt
Filed under: uncultured Lactococcus sp.
Lineage: Bacteria; Bacillati; Bacillota; Bacilli; Lactobacillales; Streptococcaceae
Description: partial 16S ribosomal RNA
Rfam family: Bacterial small subunit ribosomal RNA
Source: RNAcentral
UACGUAGGUCCCGAGCGUUGUCCGGAUUUAUUGGGCGUAAAGCGAGCGCAGGUGGUUUAUUAAGUCUGGUGUAAAAGGCAGUGGCUCAACCAUUGUAUGCAUUGGAAACUGGUAGACUUGAGUGCAGGAGAGGCAAGUGGAAUUCCUAGUGUAGCGGUGAAAUGCGUAGAUAUUAGGAGGAACACCAGUGGCGGAGGCGGCUUACUGGACGGUAACUGACGCUGAGGCUCGAAAGCGUGGGGAGCAAACAGG